Molecule: long non-coding RNA, 1367 nt
Filed under: Anser cygnoides (Swan goose)
Lineage: Eukaryota; Metazoa; Chordata; Aves; Anseriformes; Anatidae
Description: lncRNA (ENSACDG00005007146.1)
Source: RNAcentral
UGCUGGCCUCUGGGAGAGGGUUUCAGGGUGCUCGGACUGCCAUUGGGGUGUUCCAGUGGGCAUUGGGGUGCUCCGAUUGCCACUGAGGUGCUCCAGUGGGCAUUGGGAUGCUCCGACUGGUAUUGGGGUGCUCCAACUGGCCUCAUGCUGGUCAAUGAUGAGGGGACAUUGGGUUGCUCCAACUGGCAUUGAGACUACACCAACGGGCAUUGGGGUGUCCCCUCAGGCCGGGCAGCAUCGUGGUGGAUCACGCCGUCAUCGUCGCUCUGCUGGUGACCACCGAUACCACCGAGAAGAUCAAUAACGUCACCAAGAAUGUGAAGGAGGAGAUUGUCCAAGCAGCAGCCCAUCAGGAAAACUGCACUGACAACAGUGAGCCUCUGACCCCCAGGGACAGGGUUGGGGUCCCCAAGGAUGGGGUUGGGUCCUCCCAGAUGGAGUUGUGUCCUCUGUGACAGGGUUGGGGCCCUCCAUGAAGGGAUUGGGGCCAUCCAUGACGGGGUUGUGUCCUCCAUGACAGGGUUGGGGCUCUUGGGACCCCUUCGGGCCUAGGCCUUGGGGGCAUGGUUGAAGUGUUCCGAGGAUAGGGUUGGGGCCCUGGGGAACCAUUUGGGCCUGGCCUUGGGGACAAGGUUGUGGCCUCUGGGGACAGGCUUGGGGCCCUUUGGACAGGGUUGAGGACUCCUGGACAUGGUUGAGGCCCUGGGGAUCCAUUCGGGCCUAGGCCUGGGGCAGAGCUGGGGCCUCCGGGGGCAGGGUUGGGGCCCUAAGGACCCCUGAGGCCCAGGGGCUCUUCCAAGCAGCCUCUCCCUCUCCUUCCCAGGCAGCUUCUGCUUCAACGCCUCCGAAGUGAUGAUCACCCAACCCUCGUUUGACUUCAACGCAACAGGUGAGCCCGCGGGGUGGGUUGUUUGUGGUAAACCAUGGGUUGGGGUCCAGGGGCAUCUCCCCCUGUCCAACCCCUGUUCCCUUUGCAGCAUAUUGCCGCCAGGUCACACCCAAGGGCUUUGAGGACUUCUACUACCCCAACACCACCAAAAGCGGCCUCAGCUGCGUGUCCAACUGCUCAGCCAACACCGCCGGCGCCAUUGACUGCAACGAGGGGCAGUGCCAGCUCACCCUGAGCGGCCCCCAGUGCUUCUGCCGUGAGACCAACCUCUACUGGUACCAGGGCAAUCGGUGCAAGAGCCGGGUCAGCAAGAUGGCCGUGGGCAUGGGCCUGGCCGUGGCAGCCUUAUGCUUGGUCCUCUUCAUCCUCGCUGCCUUCCUCUCCAGGACCAAGAGGCAGAAGUUGUCAGACAGGUGGGGAAACCCCAGGAGGUGGGGAGGGGGAGGCGGUGGGCAUGGGAGGACCUCCACAAGUAGAG